AUCGUACCCCAAACCGACACAGGUGGUCAGGUAGAGAAUACCAAGGCGCUUGAGAGAACUCGGGUGAAGGAACUAGGCAAAAUGGUGCCGUAACUUCGGGAGAAGGCACGCUGAUAUGUAGGUGAAGUCCCUGCGGACGGAGCUGAAAUCAGUCGAAGAUACCAGCUGGCUGCAACUGUUUAUUAAAAACACAGCACUGUGCAAACACGAAAGUGGACGUAUACGGUGUGACGCCUGCCCGGU
This 243-nucleotide ribosomal RNA is filed under the name Enterobacter hormaechei. Its description in RNAcentral is "partial 23S ribosomal RNA". It matches the Rfam family "Bacterial large subunit ribosomal RNA", at positions 1641 to 1867 of the family's 2925-position model. Lineage: Bacteria; Pseudomonadati; Pseudomonadota; Gammaproteobacteria; Enterobacterales; Enterobacteriaceae. The record is from RNAcentral.